CAGUCGCCGCGGUAAUACGUAGGUGGCAAGCGUUGUCCGGAAUUAUUGGGCGUAAAGGGCUCGCAGGCGGUUUCUUAAGUCUGAUGUGAAAGCCCCCGGCUCAACCGGGGAGGGUCAUUGGAAACUGGGAAACUUGAGUGCAGAAGAGGAGAGUGGAAUUCCACGUGUAGCGGUGAAAUGCGUAGAGAUGUGGAGGAACACCAGUGGCGAAGGCGACUCUCUGGUCUGUAACUGACGCUGAGGCACGAAAGCGUGGGGAGCAAACAGGAUUAGAUACCCGCGUAGUCCCUGUCUCUUAUAA
Molecule: ribosomal RNA, 301 nt
Filed under: uncultured bacterium
Lineage: Bacteria
Description: partial 16S ribosomal RNA
Rfam family: Bacterial small subunit ribosomal RNA
Source: RNAcentral